CCUACGGGGCGCAGCAGUGAGGAAUCUUGGUCAAUGGACGGAAGUCUGAACCAGCCAUGCCGCGUGCAGGAAGACGGCUCUAUGAGUUUUAAACUGCUUUUGUACAAGGGUAAACCUGAAUACGUGUAUUCAGCUGACAGUACUGUACGAAUAAGGAUCGGCUAACUCCGUGCCAGCAGCAGCGGUAAUACGGAGGAUCCAAGCGUUAUCCGGAUUGAUUGGGUUUAAAGGGUUCGUAGGCGGAUUUAUAAGUUAGAGGUGAAAUGUCCGAGCUUAACUCGGGCACUGCCUCUAAUACUGUUGAUCUAGAGAGUAGAUGCGGUAGGCGGAAUGUAUGGUGUAGCGGUGAAAUGCUUAGAGAUCAUACAGAACACCGAUUGCGAAGGCAGCUUACCAAUCUAUAUCUGACGUUGAGGCACGAAAGCGUGGGGAGCAAACAGGAUUAGAUACCCUGGUAGUC
This 460-nucleotide ribosomal RNA is filed under the name uncultured bacterium. RNAcentral's name for it is "partial 16S ribosomal RNA". It matches the Rfam family "Bacterial small subunit ribosomal RNA", at positions 338 to 795 of the family's 1533-position model. The record is from RNAcentral.